UACUUGUGCUAGAAUUGUGGUAUAAUUAAUAAAAUUACGCAGAAAGGAAUUAGCAUCCAGAAAGUGAAGCCGCAAAGGUCAAGGAUAAAGGUGAAGCCACUGACAGAGUGAUAAGCCAUUAAAAAUUGUUCGAGCCCAAACAAAGAUUCCCACUAGGAACGACUUUCUUUGUUUGGUCUGCGUUCUCAACCUCAGGCCUUAUCUAUAAAAUCAUCAUCUUUCUGUGACUUCGGUGUUUGGCGUGUCAGCUGAUUCUUGCAAUGUGUUUGUUUGAUCAAGCUGAUUCUUGCAAAUCUUCUCUCCUCAAUUGGUAACUGUGAGCAGCUGAAUCUCAAUCAACACCAAGACAUGGAGGUCAUUUUAGAUAAAAAAGAUGCUGGUGAUUGGAUUUACAGAGGCGAAGGCGCUGCCAAUCUUGUUCUCGGUUACAGCGGAUCCACCCCCGCUUUUAUUGGGAAAGUAAUGCGUCUACAGAAAGCUCCAGUUAAUGGGUCAAAGUCCAUGAACAGUCCCACUGCAUUAACCGUGCAUGAACGUCUUCUGUGGAAGGACACGGAGGACAUUGUAGCUACCUCUAACAAAGAACUUGCUUGUCAACUGUUUGUGAAGCACAUCAUGAGCCCUCUAUUGGGUUCCACAUACGUGGAUUCCGGGAUGCGCGUCUCUGCUUCCAAGGAAUUCUUGGAGUCGGUUGAGAAGAACAUAAUUUCUCAGCGUCCUGCUUCUCGAGUUGAUGCAGCAAAAGUUGACACAGAAUGUGAUUCUGUGCUUCUUAUGUCUGAUCAUUCUCUUUUUCCUCGUGGUACUCAUGAAGUUGAACCCUGUAUAUCUGUGGAGAUAAAGCCAAAAUGUGGAUUUCUGCCAUCUUCAAAGUUCAUUGAUGAAGGAAAUGCCAUUAAACGGAGCAUUACUCGUUUUCAGAUGCAUCAAGCUCUGAAGUUGCAUCAAGGAGAGGUAUCAGAAUAUAGUGACUAUAAUCCACUUGAUAUGUUCUCUGGAUCCAAGGACAGAAUACAUAAAGCUAUCAGGGAUCUCUUCUCAACCCCACAGAAUAACUUCCGUGUGUUCUUGAAUGGUUCUCAAAUAUUUGGGGGCUUAGGUGGUGGUGCAGACAGUACCAAUUUUGUGACUCGAGGAAAAUUUGAAGAUGCACUCAAGUGUGUCAUUCAGGGAGGUGAUGGCUUGCGCACAAUGAGUUUUCUACAGCUUGUUGCUGAAACAGUUCAUAAUUCUGGAGUGUUGGAUCAGCUCCUUGAGGUCCAGAAACUUGAUAACCUUGACAUUGAUGGGGCUAUCCAUGCGUAUUAUGACAUCGUUUCGGAGCCUUGCAUGGUAUGCAGAGCAUUCGGUAAAGAAAAAAUGUCACAGAGAUAUCUUUCAUUGCAUUCCAUCUCUUUGGAUGAAAGCUUGAAGAUUGUGAAGGACUUUUUGAUAGCUGCUACUGCGAAGGACUGCAGUUUGAUGAUUAGUUUUAGACCAAGGAAAGAUGGGAAUACAGGAUCUCCAUAUAAUAAUUUGUAUCUAGAAUCAAGCAACCAAUUUUUUGAUUACAAGGUGAAUUUCAUUGACCUGGAUUUGAAACAAUUGAAGAAAAUGGAAGAAUAUUAUGAGUUGGACAAAAAAAUAGUAACCUACUACAAUCGAAUGGUGGAAACUGAGGAAAGACAAAAGAAAAAUACAAGCACAAUGGCUCUUAGAACUGCAAAUUGAGAUUUGUUACAGUGCCAUGGAGGAUAGUUUACUUCAAAUUAUGAGUAAACAUAAGGUUCUUACAGUUUUGAACAAUGGAACCAAACACAUUUAGUUUUGAGCAGUAACUUAUGACAUUUUCCACUUCUGUCUGAUGUACAAAGUGUGAUUUGGAGUUCUUUUUUGUGACUACAUUGCCAAACCACGAACAUUUGAAAGAAAUGAUUUGGAAGAAUCAAUGAGCCUGAUGCUGAAACAUGUAUCUAGACCAGUGGUAAGACUAAUAUGGAAGGCUCUGUGAACUCUGGUUGUUCAGCUUUGGUAUUUUGAUCGGCAUAUAUGUGGAAUAUAAAAGCUGUGGGUUGGCUACAUCAUGUGCUGAACAAUGAGCUCCUGAGCUGUCUAUAGAAAACUGUAGUGUCAGUGGAACUGCUGUGUUCAAAGUGCAGGAAGAAGGUGAUGAAGUUAAUAGCAACGGUAGAAGGGAUAACUUCCAUUGUCCUGGACCCGUCAAAAAAUA
RNA transcript from Prunus dulcis (almond), 2209 nucleotides. It is a transcript of the gene named inositol-pentakisphosphate 2-kinase-like, with no coding region annotated. Lineage: Eukaryota; Viridiplantae; Streptophyta; Magnoliopsida; Rosales; Rosaceae. The transcript has 10 exons. The record is from RefSeq and is a predicted model, not a curated record.